UACGUAGGGGGCAAGCGUUGUCCGGAAUCAUUGGGCGUAAAGAGCGUGUAGGCGGCUCGGUAAGUCCGCUGUGAAAGUCCAGGGCUCAACCCUGGAAUGCCGGUGGAAACUGUCGAGCUAGAGUCCGGAAGAGGCGAGUGGAGUUCCUGGUGUAGCGGUGAAAUGCGCAGAUAUCAGGAGGAACACCAAUGGCGAAGGCAGCUCGCUGGGACGGUACUGACGCUGAGGAGCGAAAGCGUGGGGAGCAAACAGG
RNAcentral lists this ribosomal RNA (253 nucleotides) under uncultured bacterium. RNAcentral's name for it is "partial 16S ribosomal RNA". It matches the Rfam family "Bacterial small subunit ribosomal RNA", at positions 524 to 776 of the family's 1533-position model. The record is from RNAcentral.